GUCACUUUAGCUUAGUGGCAGAGCGUCUGCUUUGUAAGCAGAAGGUCGUCA
Molecule: non-coding RNA, 51 nt
Organism: Perkinsus marinus ATCC 50983
Lineage: Eukaryota; Perkinsozoa; Perkinsida; Perkinsidae
Source: Rfam